CCUACGGGUGGCAGCAGUGAGGAAUAUUGGUCAAUGGGCGGGAGCCUGAACCAGCCAUGCCGCGUGAAGGCGAGUGCCCUACGGGCGUUAAACUUCUUUUGUGCGGGAGCAAUAAGGGCCACGCGUGGCCCGAUGAGAGUACCGCACGAAUAAGCAUCGUCUAACUCCGUGCCAGCAGCCGCGGUAAUACGGGGGAUGCGAGCGUUAUCCGGAUUUAUUGGGUUUAAAGGGUGCGUAGGCGGCGCUUCAGGUCAGCGGUGAAAUACCGGGGCUCAACCCCGGGGCUGCCGUUGAAACCGGAGCGCUAGAAUUCCGAUGCCGUCGGAGGAAUGUGUGGUGUAGCGGUGAAAUGCAUAGAUAUCACACAGAACUCCGAUUGCGAAGGCAGCUUACUAAGCCAUAACUGACACUGAAGCACGAAAGCGUGGGGAUCAAACAGGAUUAGAUACCCUUGUAGUC
This 459-nucleotide ribosomal RNA is filed under the name uncultured bacterium. Its description in RNAcentral is "partial 16S ribosomal RNA". It matches the Rfam family "Bacterial small subunit ribosomal RNA", at positions 338 to 795 of the family's 1533-position model. The record is from RNAcentral.